Molecule: non-coding RNA, 88 nt
Organism: Brevibacillus choshinensis
Lineage: Bacteria; Bacillati; Bacillota; Bacilli; Caryophanales; Paenibacillaceae
Source: Rfam
AAAACCUAAAACAACGAAAGCCCUGCCUCUCUUCCAUCCUUGCGGCUCCGAUGACCGCGCCAGUGUGAAUCGGGCAUUCAAAAAACAA